GGAUUGUGAAUCCCCCAUGCGCGA
RNAcentral lists this transfer RNA (24 nucleotides) under Kappaphycus sp. B9. RNAcentral describes it as "partial tRNA-His". Lineage: Eukaryota; Rhodophyta; Florideophyceae; Gigartinales; Solieriaceae. The record is from RNAcentral.